CUGAAAGCGAUUAUAACGUUUGUAUGGGCGGAGU
This 34-nucleotide small RNA is filed under the name Bombyx mori (domestic silkworm). RNAcentral describes it as "ovarian small RNA-14736". Lineage: Eukaryota; Metazoa; Arthropoda; Insecta; Lepidoptera; Bombycidae. The record is from RNAcentral.